UGCGUAGGUGGUUCGUUAAGUCUGAUGUGAAAGCCCUGGGCUCAACCUGGGAAUGGCAUUGGAUACUGGCGACCUAGAGUGCGGUAGAGGGUAGCGGAACUCCCGGUGUAGCAGUGAAAUGCGUAGAUAUCGGGAGGAACAUCCGUGGCGAAGGCGGCUACCUGGACCAGCACUGACACUGAGGCACGAAAGCGUGGGGGAGCAAACA
RNAcentral lists this ribosomal RNA (208 nucleotides) under uncultured bacterium. Its description in RNAcentral is "partial 16S ribosomal RNA". It matches the Rfam family "Bacterial small subunit ribosomal RNA", at positions 568 to 774 of the family's 1533-position model. The record is from RNAcentral.